This 412-nucleotide ribosomal RNA is filed under the name Rhizophagus sp. CSD-2020a. RNAcentral describes it as "partial large subunit ribosomal RNA". Lineage: Eukaryota; Fungi; Glomeromycota; Glomeromycetes; Glomerales; Glomeraceae. The record is from RNAcentral.
AGAGUUAAACAGUACGUGAAAUUGUUGAAAAGGAAACGAUUGAAGUCAGUCGUACCGGUGGGUAAUCAGCCUUUCGGUGUGAUUAUGUGGAGUGUGAGGAGUUAAGAGCCCUUGUGCCUGCAUAUUCGUGCUCUUUGGGUGUACUUGCCCGCAUGGUAGGUUAACAUCAAUUUCGGACGUCAUAAAAUGGUUGGAGGAAUGUAGCUUCGGUCUUGUAUUGAAGUGUUAUAGUCUUCGGCAGAUGUGAUGAUCGGGAUUGAGGAUUGCAACGGAUACCCUUCGGGGCUACUCGUCUGAUCUCUGAUAGUUUCUCUGGUGCCGAAAGCGUGCUUACGGUUAUCAAAGUUGACGGUCAACAGGUUAGAACGGGUUAAGUUCGUUAAGGAUGUUGACAUAAUGGCUUUAAACGACC